UUAGGAAAAUAAUAUUCAACUAAGCAAGGCGUUUUAUGUUUGUUUGUGUUUUUCUUUGAACAUUGUAAGACUAGAAUUUUCUUUAUUUUCCUGCUAAAUGUGAAAAAACAUGAUUGUCUGCCCAGUUGUUGCAUUUCUUAGUCUUACGUUGUUCACUCUGACACUGGAAUUUUGAGAAAUGUCUGAUCAUUAGGAAUUUCAAGUUUACAGCAGUCCCUGAAUGCUGCUUUCCAUUCUGAACCCAACAAUUCUAUGGGAUGAACAAGCAACUAAAUCUACAUUAUGGUGGUGGUGUCAGUGAUGGAACAGGCAAAGUCUGACAAAUCUCUUUCCUUGCAGAUAUUCAAAAUACUACUGGAUGUGACCAUGAGUAACCUGAUUUAACUUUGGCAUUAGCCUUGGUUUGAGUGAGAGAAUGGAGCACAGCCAAUGACCCAGAAGUCCAUUCCCACUUGAAUUAUGUUAUGAUUCUACAUGGAGACCUCUAUCUCUUGGGUCCUUGGAAGUCACUGUGGUUUACCAGUGAUCUAUGAUGGCCCAAAGAGACUUAAAAGGAUGCUGCGAUGCCAGGGAGACUUUUGAGAGGGAAGAUUCAUUUAGCAUCUGGACAGCAACUCUUCCAAGAAGAGAAGUUGGACACCGGGAGCUGCUGAAUUAUUCUGUGUAUGAGGAAGCUUAUUUGGGAGACAUCACCUACUGCUCCCUCUGUAUUAUUUUCCUGACUGUGCAAACACUGGGCAUUUGUGCAGAGAGCAAACCUCUACCAGUGCAUGGCAACCCAGUGCAGUCCAGUGUGUUCCUGAAUACAUCAGCUGAGCUGUAAGAAUGUACAAGAUCUUUUCAGUGCCAGUGGGAAUGACUGGGAGUAAAUGAAGACAGAAUAUCACCCACAGUCUCAGUAGGAGAUUGCUUCCCACACUGACACGUGUGCUUGGAUAUUCAGAAGAAAUUAUAUGCACCGAAAAUACAACACAUUGUGUCACAGAACCUGGUAAUUUUGAAGAAAAAAAAUCAUUAAGAGCCAAGUUAUAUGCUACACCAGUAAGUAUAGUUUCUGUUGACAUCAUAUUCAUCCCUAGCAGCAGGAACCUUCAGUGUUACAUUUCAUAGCUGUGU
This 1116-nucleotide long non-coding RNA is filed under the name Anser cygnoides (Swan goose). RNAcentral's name for it is "lncRNA (ENSACDG00005001606.1)". Lineage: Eukaryota; Metazoa; Chordata; Aves; Anseriformes; Anatidae. The record is from RNAcentral.